Molecule: unclassified non-coding RNA, 348 nt
Organism: Dipodomys ordii (Ord's kangaroo rat)
Lineage: Eukaryota; Metazoa; Chordata; Mammalia; Rodentia; Heteromyidae
Gene: 7SK
Rfam family: 7SK RNA
About the family: 7SK was discovered as an abundant small nuclear RNA in the mid-70s but a possible function has only recently been suggested. Two independent studies have found that 7SK RNA binds the CDK9/cyclin T complex (known as elongation factor P-TEFb).
Source: Ensembl
GGGUGUGAGGGCGAUCUGGCUGUGACAUCUGUCCCCCAUCGAUCGCCAGGGUUGAUCCGGCUGCUCUGGCUGGCUAGGCGGGUGUCCCCUUCCUCCCUCGCCGCUCCACGUGCGUCCCUCCUGAAGCUGCGCUGUCGGUGAAGAGGACGACCCUCCCCGAUAGAGGAGGACCGGCCUUCGGUCCAGGGUAUAUGGGUAGCUGCGCCCCCCUGCUAGAACCUCCAAAAGCAAGCUCUGAGAAGCGGCUUUGUGAAAUGCUCUUGGCUUCCGACUUCCGAAAGGGGAGUUGGGGAGGAGGAGGCGGGGUGUGUGUAGCGAACUUAAAACUUAAGAGGCUGCUAGGACUUU